RNAcentral lists this ribosomal RNA (449 nucleotides) under uncultured bacterium. RNAcentral's name for it is "partial 16S ribosomal RNA". It matches the Rfam family "Bacterial small subunit ribosomal RNA", at positions 29 to 523 of the family's 1533-position model. The record is from RNAcentral.
UACGAACGCUGGCGGCAGGCUUAACACAUGCAAGUCGAGCGCAUCCUUCGGGGUGAGCGGCAGACGGGUGAGUGACGCGUGGGAACGUACCCUUUCCUACGGAAUAGCUCCGGGAAACUGGAAUUAAUACCGUAUACGCCCUUAGGGGGAAAGAUUUACCGGGGAAGGAUCGGCCCGCGUUGGAUUAGCUAGUUGGUGGGGUAAAGGCCUACCAAGGCGACGAUCCAUAGCUGGUCUGAGAGGAUGAUCAGCCACAUUGGGACUGAGACACGGCCCAAACUCCUACGGGAGGCAGCAGUGGGGAAUAUUGGACAAUGGGCGCAAGCCUGAUCCAGCCAUGCCGCGUGAGUGAUGAAGGCCUUAGGGUUGUAAAGCUCUUUCAGUAGGGAAGAUAAUGACGGUACCUACAGAAGAAGCCCCGGCUAACUUCGUGCCAGCAGCCGCCGUAA